AUUGAACGCUGGCGGCAGGCCUAACACAUGCAAGUCGAGCGGAUGAAGGGAGCUUGCUUCUGGAUUCAGCGGCGGACGGGUGAGUAAUGCCUAGGAAUCUGCCUGGUAGUGGGGGAUGACGUCCGGAAACGGGCGCUAAUACCGCAUACGUCAUGAGGGAUAAAGAGGGGGAUUUUCGGACAUCAAGCUAUCUGAUGAGCCUAGGUCGGAUUGGCUGGUUGGUUGGGUAAAUGGCUACGAAGGCGACGCACCGUAACUGGUCUGAGAGGAUGAUCCGCCCAACUGGAAUUGGACCACGGCCCAACCCCCUCCGGGAGGCAGAAGUGGGGAACAUUGGCCAAUGAGGGAAAGCCUGACCCAGACCUGCCGCGGGUGUGAGGAAGGUCUUCGGAUGGUAAAGCACUUUAAGUUGGGAGAAAGGGCAGUAAGUUAAAACCUUGCUGUAUUGACGGUACCAACAGAGAAAGCACCGGCUAACUACGUG
This 484-nucleotide ribosomal RNA is filed under the name uncultured bacterium. Its description in RNAcentral is "partial 16S ribosomal RNA". It matches the Rfam family "Bacterial small subunit ribosomal RNA", at positions 30 to 507 of the family's 1533-position model. The record is from RNAcentral.